GACGAACGCUGGCGGCGUGCUUAACACAUGCAAGUCGAACGGAAAGGCCCUGCUUUUGUGGGGUGCUCGAGUGGCGAACGGGUGAGUAACACGUGAGUAACCUGCCCUUGACUUUGGGAUAACUUCAGGAAACUGGGGCUAAUACCGGAUAGGAGCUCCUGCUGCAUGGUGGGGGUUGGAAAGUUUCGGCGGUUGGGGAUGGACUCGCGGCUUAUCAGCUUGUUGGUGGGGUAGUGGCUUACCAAGGCUUUGACGGGUAGCCGGCCUGAGAGGGUGACCGGCCACAUUGGGACUGAGAUACGGCCCAGACUCCUACGGGAGGCAGCGGUGGGGAAUAUUGCACAAUGGGCGGAAGCCUGAUGCAGCAACGCCGCGUGCGGGAUGACGGCCUUCGGGUUGUAAACCGCUUUCGCCUGUGACGAAGCGUGAAUGACGGUAAUGGGUAAAGAAGCACCGGCUAACUACGUG
Molecule: ribosomal RNA, 468 nt
Filed under: uncultured bacterium
Lineage: Bacteria
Description: partial 16S ribosomal RNA
Rfam family: Bacterial small subunit ribosomal RNA
Source: RNAcentral